GUGGGGAAUUUUGGACAAUGGGCGAAAGCCUGAUCCAGCCAUGCCGCGUGCAGGAUGAAGGCCUUCGGGUUGUAAACUGCUUUUGUACGGAACGAAAAGACUCCUUCUAAUAAAGGGGGUCCAUGACGGUACCGUAAGAAUAAGCACCGGCUAACUACGUGCCAGCAGCCGCGGUAAUACGUAGGGUGCAAGCGUUAAUCGGAAUUACUGGGCGUAAAGCGUGCGAAGGCGGUUAUAUAAGGCAGAUGUGAAAUCCCCGGGCUCAACCUGGGAACUGCAUUUGUGACUGUAUAGCUAGAGUACGGUAGAGGGGGAUGGAAUUCCGCGUGUAGCAGUGAAAUGCGUAGAUAUGCGGAGGAACACCGAUGGCGAAGGCAAUCCCCUGGACCUGUACUGACGCUCAUGCACGAAAGCGUGGGGAGCAAACAGGAUUAGAUACCCGAGUAGUCC
This 450-nucleotide ribosomal RNA is filed under the name uncultured bacterium. RNAcentral describes it as "partial 16S ribosomal RNA". It matches the Rfam family "Bacterial small subunit ribosomal RNA", at positions 354 to 796 of the family's 1533-position model. The record is from RNAcentral.